UACGUAGGGUGCAAGCGUUGUUCGGAUUUACUGGGCGUAAAGGGCGCGUAGGCGGCCACUGCAAGUCAGUUGUGAAAUCUCCGGGCUUAACCCGGAAAGGUCAACUGAUACUGCAGGGCUAGAGUGCAGAAGGGGCAACUGGAAUUCUCGGUGUAGCGGUGAAAUGCGUAGAUAUCGAGAGGAACACCUGCGGCGAAGGCGGGUUGCUGGGCUGACACUGACGCUGAAGCGCGAAAGCUAGGGGAGCGAACGGG
RNAcentral lists this ribosomal RNA (254 nucleotides) under uncultured bacterium. RNAcentral's name for it is "partial 16S ribosomal RNA". It matches the Rfam family "Bacterial small subunit ribosomal RNA", at positions 524 to 776 of the family's 1533-position model. The record is from RNAcentral.